UUCCGGUUGAUCCCGCCGGAGGCCACCGCUAUUGGAGUACGCUUAAGCCAUGCGAGUCGAGAGGGGUAAAGCCCUCGGUGGACGUCCCAGUAACACGUGGGUAAUCUGCCCUCAGGUGGGGGAUAAUCUCGGGAAACUGAGGCUAAUACCCCAUAGAUCUGUUCUGCUGGAAUGCUUACAGAUUAAAAGCUACGGCGCCUGAGGAUGAGCCUGCGGGCUAUCAGGUUGUAGUGAGGGUAACGGCCUCACUAGCCGACGACGGAUACGGGCGUUGAGAGACGGUGCCCGGAGUUGGACUCUGAGACACGAGUCCAGGCCCUACGGGGCGCAGCAGGCGCGAAAACUUCGCAAUGCGGGAAACCGUGACGAGGGAACUCCAAGUGCUGUCACACAGUGGCAGCUGUUCAUCUGUCUAAAAAACAGGUGAAGUAAGGGCUGGGUAAGACUGGUGCCAGCCGCCGCGGUAAUACCAGCAGCCCGAGUGGUGGUCGCUUUUAUUGGGCCUAAAGCGUCCGUAGCCUGUCCAGUAAACCCUUGGGUAAAUCGUGAAGCUUAACUUUACGAAUUCCGAGGAGACUGCUGGACUUGGGACCGGGAGAGGUCGGAGGUACUCUGGGGGUAGGGGUGAAAUCCAAUAAUCCUCAGGGGACCACCAGUGGCGAAGGCGUCCGACUAGAACGGAUCCGACGGUGAGGGACGAAGCCCUGGGGCACAAACCGGAUUAGAUACCCGGGUAGUCCAGGGUGUAAACGCUGCGGGCUUGGUGUUGGGGGUCCUACGAGGGCGUCCAGUGCCGGAGAGAAGUUGUUAAGCCCGCCGCCUGGGGAGUACGGUCGCAAGACUGAAACUUAAAGGAAUUGGCGGGGGAGCACCGCAACGGGUGGAGCGUGCGGUUUAAUUGGAUUCAACGCCGGG
This 915-nucleotide ribosomal RNA is filed under the name uncultured archaeon. RNAcentral's name for it is "bacterial SSU rRNA". It matches the Rfam family "Archaeal small subunit ribosomal RNA", at positions 1 to 922 of the family's 1478-position model. The record is from RNAcentral.